RNAcentral lists this ribosomal RNA (465 nucleotides) under uncultured bacterium. RNAcentral's name for it is "partial 16S ribosomal RNA". It matches the Rfam family "Bacterial small subunit ribosomal RNA", at positions 28 to 507 of the family's 1533-position model. The record is from RNAcentral.
GACGAACGCUGGCGGCGUGCUUAACACAUGCAAGUCGAACGGAAGGGCCCCAGCUUGCUGGGGUACUCGAGUGGCGAAUGGGUGAGUAACACGUGGGUGAUCUGCCCUGCACUCUGGGAUAAGCCUGGGAAACUGGGUCUAAUACCGGAUAGGACCGUGCUUUAGUGUGUGCGGUGGAAAGUUUUUCGGUGCAGGAUGAGCCCGCGGCCUAUCAGCUUGUUGGUGGGGUAAUGGCCUACCAAGGCGGCGACGGGUAGCCGGCCUGAGAGGGUGUACGGCCACAUUGGGACUGAGACACGGCCCAGACUCCUACGGGAGGCAGCAGUGGGGAAUAUUGCACAAUGGGCGCAAGCCUGAUGCAGCGACGCCGCGUGGGGGAUGACGGCCUUCGGGUUGUAAACCCCUUUCGGCAGGGACGAAGCUUUUGUGACGGUACCUGCAUAAGAAGCACCGGCUAACUACGUG